Molecule: ribosomal RNA, 460 nt
Filed under: uncultured bacterium
Lineage: Bacteria
Description: partial 16S ribosomal RNA
Rfam family: Bacterial small subunit ribosomal RNA
Source: RNAcentral
CCUACGGGAGGCAGCAGUGAGGAAUAUUGGUCAAUGGGCGCGAGCCUGAACCAGCCAAGUCGCGUGAGGGAGGACGGCCCUACGGGUUGUAAACCUCUUUUGCCGGGGAGCAACGGGCGUCACGUGUGGCGCCACUGAGAGUACCCGGAGAAAAAGCAUCGGCUAACUCCGUGCCAGCAGCCGCGGUAAUACGGGGGAUGGGAGCGUUAUCCGGUUUUAUUGGGGUAAAAGGGUGCGUAGGCGGAUCGGUAAGUCAGUGGUAAAAGUGAGGGGCUCAACCCCUUCCCGCCAUUGAAACUGGCGCUCUUGAGUGGAAGAGAAGUAUGCGGAAUGCGCGGUGUAGCGGUGAAAUGCAUAGAUAUCACGCAGAACCCCGAUUGCGAAGGCAGCAUGCCGGCUUCCGACUGACGCUGAAGCACGAAAGCGUGGGGAUCGAACAGGAUUAGAUACCCGGGUAGUC